RNAcentral lists this ribosomal RNA (268 nucleotides) under uncultured bacterium. RNAcentral's name for it is "partial 16S ribosomal RNA". It matches the Rfam family "Bacterial small subunit ribosomal RNA", at positions 793 to 1055 of the family's 1533-position model. The record is from RNAcentral.
GUCCUAGCAGUAAACGGUGCACGUUUGGUGUAGGAGGAUUCGACCCCUCCUGUGCCGGAGCUAACGCGUUAAACGUGCCGCCUGGGAAGUACGGUCGCAAGAUUAAAACUCAAAGAAAUUGACGGGGCCCGCACAAGCGGUGGAGUAUGUGGCUUAAUUCGAUGCAACGCGAAGAACCUUACCAGGGUUUGACAUGUAUCGUGUCGGCGAUGAAAGUCGCCUAGCUAUAGCAAUAUAGCGCUUUACACAGGUGCUGCAUGGCUGUCGU